GAUGAAGAACGUAGCGAAAUGCGAUAAGUAAUGUGAAUUGCAGAAUUAAGUGAAUCAUCGAAUCUUUGAACGCAUCUUGCGCUCCUUGGUAUUCUGAGGAGCAUGCCUGUUUGAGUGUCAUUAAAUUCUCAACUACACUGACUUUGAAUUGGUGUGGCUUGGAUUUGGGGGGAAAAUUGUUGUGGGCUUUUUGUAUAGUCUGCUCCCCUGAAAUUGAUUAGCGGUACCUUUGUGGAACUGUCUACAGGUGUGAUAAUUAUCUACAUCUUAGACAUCUGCUGGAAUGCUGCUUUCUAAACCUUACUUGUAUUGACAAUCUUGACCUCAAAUCAGGUAGGACUACCCGCUGAACUUAAGCAUAUCAAUAAGCGGAGGA
This 376-nucleotide unclassified non-coding RNA is filed under the name soil metagenome. RNAcentral's name for it is "partial contains 5.8S ribosomal RNA, internal transcribed spacer 2, and large subunit ribosomal RNA". The stretch from base 1 to 120 matches the Rfam family "5.8S ribosomal RNA", at positions 35 to 154 of the family's 154-position model. The record is from RNAcentral.